This 253-nucleotide ribosomal RNA is filed under the name uncultured prokaryote. RNAcentral's name for it is "partial 16S ribosomal RNA". It matches the Rfam family "Bacterial small subunit ribosomal RNA", at positions 524 to 776 of the family's 1533-position model. The record is from RNAcentral.
GACGUAGGGUGCGAGCGUUGUCCGGAUUUAUUGGGCGUAAAGAGCUCGUAGGCGGCUCGUCGCGUCGACCGUGAAAACCCGCGGCUUAACUGCGGGCUUGCGGUUGAUACGGGCGGGCUAGAGUUCGGUAGGGGAGACUGGAAUUCCUGGUGUAGCGGUGAAAUGCGCAGAUAUCAGGAGGAACACCGGUGGUGUAGACGGCUUUCUGGACCGUAACUGACGCUGAGACACGAAAGCGUGGGUAGCAAACAGG